GACGAACGCUGGCGGCGUGCUUAACACAUGCAAGUCGAACGGAAAGGCCCUGCUUUUGUGGGGUGCUCGAGUGGCGAACGGGUGAGUAACACGUGAGUAACCUGCCCUUGACUUUGGGAUAACUUCAGGAAACUGGGGCUAAUACCGGAUAGGAGCUCCUGCUGCAUGGUGGGGGUUGGAAAGUUUCGGCGGUUGGGGAUGGACUCGCGGCUUAUCAGCUUGUUGGUGGGGUAGUGGCUUACCAAGGCUUUGACGGGUAGCCGGCCUGAGAGGGUGACCGGCCACAUUGGGACUGAGAUACGGCCCAGACUCCUACGGGAGGCAGCAGUGGGGAAUAUUGCACAAUGGGCGGAGGCCGGAUGCAGCACCGCCGCGUGCGGGAUGACGGCCUUCGGGUUGUAAACCGCUUUCGCCUGUGACGAAGCGUGAGUGACGGUAAUGGGUAAAGAAGCACCGGCUAACUACGUG
RNAcentral lists this ribosomal RNA (468 nucleotides) under uncultured bacterium. RNAcentral describes it as "partial 16S ribosomal RNA". It matches the Rfam family "Bacterial small subunit ribosomal RNA", at positions 28 to 507 of the family's 1533-position model. The record is from RNAcentral.